Melitaea cinxia (Glanville fritillary) is the source of this 865-nucleotide long non-coding RNA. RefSeq lists it as uncharacterized. NCBI's taxonomy places the organism in Eukaryota, Metazoa, Arthropoda, Insecta, Lepidoptera, Nymphalidae. The transcript is spliced from 2 exons. The record is from RefSeq and is a predicted model, not a curated record.
GUGUGUGUUUUUCUGAAGCUGUUCCUGGAUGAGCAAAAUAAGAAUAAAAUUACCUAUAAAGAAAUUGUAAGGCAGAAUUAUCGAUGCGAUGAUCACUUUUCGCAUCAGCAGAAGAAUUUUCAAUGCGGUUGGUAUAUAUUCCAACCAACAAGGGCAAGGGAUAAGACAAGCUGUCAUGGGAAGAAAAAAAGAAAAAAUAAAUCAAAGGAUACAAUAGAAACAUCCUACAUCAUAAAAUAAAAAUAAUCAGCUAUAAUCCCUGUUCAAUCCAGGUAGCCCAGAUAAAAACACAUAAAAUUGUAUGAAAAUUUUGGAUUCCCUGUUUCAAAUACACAAAAGUUUACAAUAAGUUCCCAAAGAACCAUCUACAAGCGUGAUAAUAUGUCGCUGGCAAGGGCUCUGCUCAAGAUGCUCAGGGCAGGCGUGGGAUCCAGGUCUAUGAAAUAGUGACACAUAUACUUUUCCAUCACAUCUUACAUGACAUUGACGAAAUCAUCUGUGCUAUUCGGCACUAGUGCAAGCCAUUAAUUCUAAAUUCAUUCAUUACUUUUCCAUAAAAGAGUAAUUGAAAGAAAAAAAAAGUCAGCGUCGGACCACGUCCUAGCUUUAUUAGGCAGUCUCACAAGACUGUUGAUUUGUAGUUCUAAUAAAAAAACGCCUGUGGUAUUACAAUAAUUCAUACAUGUUUAACAAAAGACAUGGGCAUUUCGAGCCCGUGGAUGUUAAUUACCAACAUUACCAAUAACAUAGCGAAUAGGAAAAAGGGCGGAAAAAGAAUCGCAGCAGGUGGAAAAUAGAGAAAGAAUAAUAUUGUUGAAUGUAAUUUUAUAGCAAAUAAUUAAUAAAAUAAUCAAACAAUAAAAAA